Non-coding RNA from Ictalurus furcatus (blue catfish), 685 nucleotides. The record is from the annotation of a RefSeq genome assembly. Lineage: Eukaryota; Metazoa; Chordata; Actinopteri; Siluriformes; Ictaluridae.
ACAUGUAGAGGGAUCCAUCAUGUUGUGACACUAAGAUAAGGAGUGUCUCUAUGCAAAUGUCCAUCCUUAUUAUAUAUUUAAGCAGUGAAGACCAAGAGCUUGUACUUAUUCUGCUUCAACACACAACAUGAUCUCUACAUCCCUACUGCUGCUGCUGCUGGCAGCCAUACACUGUGUUCACUGUGUUGAGCUGAUCCAGCCUGGAUCCACAGUAUUAACCCCUGGUCAGUCAGUGUCUCUGACCUGUAAAGUGUCUGGAUAUUCAUUAACAAGUACCUACUGUACACACUGGAUACGACAACCUGCAGGAAAAACUCUGGAGUGGAUCGGAUGGAUAUGUUAUGAUGGUAGCACUGCCUACAGUGAGAAACUGAAAAGCAGGUUUCAGAUUUCCAGAGACACGUCCAGCAGCACAGUAACAUUAACAGGGCAGAACAUGCAGACUGAAGACACAGCUGUGUAUUACUGCGCUCGUCAACCACAGUGAGACAGAUCAACAACAUCCCUGUACAAAAACACCUCAUACAAAGUCCUAUUAGUCCACAAGUACAACAUUACCUAUCAAAGUCUAACUAUAAAAUCUAAUCAGACAAAUCACAACAAAGAGUUUAAAGUUAUUUUUAAACUUUUAUAAUGUAGAUUUAAACCAUAUUUCUAAUAUAGUAAUGCUACAUCUCUAACAUUG